AGAGUUUGAUCAUGGCUCAGAAUGAACGUUGGCGGCGUGGAUUAGGCAUGCAAGUCGAACGAAUCCCUGGGGCAACCCGGGGGGAAGUGGCGGAAGGGGCAGUAAGGCAUAGGUAACCUACCCCGGGGCGGGGCAUAGCCAUUCUAACGAAUGGGUAAUUCCCCGCGAUGUGGCGUGCCCGCAUGGGCGUGACACGAAAGAAUUUCGCCUCGGGAGGGGCCUAUGUGAUAUUAGCUAGUUGGCGGGGUAACGGCCCACCAAGGCUCAGAUGUCUAUCGGGUGUGAGAGCACGACCCGCGCCACUGGCACUGAGACACUGGCCAGACACCUACGGGUGGCUGCAGUCGAGGAUCUUCGUCAAUGGGCGCAAGCCUGAACGAGCGACGCCGCGUGAGCGAUGAAGGCCUUCGGGUUGUAAAGCUCUUUAGGGGGGGAGAAAGACUGAUCUAUCCCCAAAAUAAGCUCGGGCUAAGUUCGUGCCAGCAGCCGCGGUAAGACGAACCGAGCGAACGUUAUUCGGAAUCACUGGGCUUAAAGGGCGCGUAGGCGGGCCGGGUAGUCCGCGGUGAAAUCCUCCAGCUCAACUGGAGAACAGCCGCGGAUACUCCCGGCCUCGAGGGAGGCAGGGGCAUCUGGAACUGGUGGUGGAGCGGUGAAAUGCGUUGAUAUCAUCAGGAACUCCGGUGGCGAAGGCGAGAUGCUGGACCUCUACUGACGCUG
Molecule: ribosomal RNA, 720 nt
Filed under: uncultured bacterium
Lineage: Bacteria
Description: bacterial SSU rRNA
Rfam family: Bacterial small subunit ribosomal RNA
Source: RNAcentral